ACCGAUAUUGGCGACUAUCAGGUAAAACUACGCAACCUGAUUCGCUUUAUUGAAGAGGGUAACAAGGUCAAGGUCACAAUCCGUUUCCGCGGGCGCGAAAUGGCGCACCAGGAUAUCGGUGUUGACGUUUUGAAUCGUUUGAAGGAAGACACUGCUGAACUUUGUUUGGUAGAAAGCUUCCCGACUCGAAUCGAAGGUCGUCAAAUGAUCAUGGUUCUUGCCCCUAAAAAGAAGUAAUUUCGGCAUACAAGUAACCUAGAGGUUUAGCACUGUCUCACUUGAGCAGGGCUAAGUCUCUUUGUUCGCCAAAUUACACUGUUAUUAAUGCAUACAAUGCGGAGUUAUUCAUCAUGCCUA
RNAcentral lists this unclassified non-coding RNA (357 nucleotides) under Enterovibrio nigricans DSM 22720. RNAcentral's name for it is "Long range pseudoknot". The record is from RNAcentral. Lineage: Bacteria; Pseudomonadati; Pseudomonadota; Gammaproteobacteria; Vibrionales; Vibrionaceae.